AUGGGGUGGGCUUCAAGGUGGCUCCGCGGGCUGCUUGGCGGCGGCAAGAAGGCCGGUCCCGCCUCCGGCGAGCACAAGCCGGAGAGGGAGAAGAAGCGCUGGGGCUUCGGCAAGUCCUUCCGGGAGAAGGACCCGGUGCGUCCACCGACGCCUCCUGUGCAGCGGGCGGCGACGCCCCGCCGCACCUACGCGACGUCGGAUGACGGCGGCGACGAGCAGAACAAACGCGCUAUCGCCGUGGCGGCGGCGACGGCGGCUGUGGCCGAGGCCGCCGUUGCCGCGGCGCAGGCGGCCGCCGCCGUGGUGCGGCUGACGAGCAGCGGGCGGUGCCCGCCGGCCGGGGCGAAGCAUGAGGAGUGGGCGGCCGUCCGGAUCCAGGCCGCUUUCCGUGGCUACCUGGCGAGGCGCGCACUGAAGGCGCUCCGCGGGCUGGUGAAGCUGCAGGCGCUGGUCCGCGGCAACAUCGUCCGGCGGCAGGCGGCCGAGACGCUCCGGUGCAUGCAGGCGCUCGUCAGCGUGCAGUCCCGCGCGCGCGCCAGCCGCGCAACCCGAUCCCGCCAGGCCGCGGCACACCCGGGCGCGACGACGCCGGAGAAGUACGAGCAGGCGGCAUACGAUGGCGCGCUCAGGCACGGCCGUUCAGGCUCACUCAAGGGAGGCUCGUCAAAGACACCGGGCAGCGAGAGGAUGAGCAGGGAGAGGUCAGAAUCUUGCGGGAGGAACUGGCUGGAUCGGUGGGUGGAGGAGAGGUACAUGGAUGACGAGAAGAACGCCAAGAUUCUCGAGGUGGACCCCGGCAAGCCCGGCCGGCACGCUUCCAAGAGGCGAAGCAGCGGCGGCGGCCACCACCAGUCGUCGUGCUCAACCAGGACAUCAGAGCAGAACAGCCGGAGCUACGCGACGAUGCCGGACUCGCCGUCCAGGGACUCGACGACGGCGCAGCAGUCCGUGCCCAGCCCGUCGUCGGUGGGCAUGGGCGCGGGCGAGGCCCUCAGCCCGCUGCACAUGCCGGCAGACCUCGCGGCGGAGCUGUACGAGAGCCCGCAGUUCUUCUCGGCGACGUCGCGGCCGGGGAGCUCGAAGCGGGGCGCCUUCUUCACGCCGACCAAGAGCGAGUGCGCGCGCAGCCUCUUCGGCGGCUACUCCGACUACCCCAACUACAUGUCCAACACGGAGUCGUUCCGGGCCAAGGCGCGGUCGCAGAGCGCGCCCAAGCAGCGGCCGCUGUACGAGAAGUCCGGGUCCCUCCGGAAGGCGUCGGCACACGCCUUCGCGCCGGGGCAGAGGUCGUCGGCGUCGGCGUCCCUGCACGCCAGGUUCACCAAUAAGGCGUACCCUGGCUCCGGCAGGCUGGACCGGCUGGGCAUGCCUGUCAAGUACUGA
This 1383-nucleotide ribosomal RNA is filed under the name Triticum aestivum (bread wheat). Its description in RNAcentral is "partial small subunit ribosomal RNA". The record is from RNAcentral. Lineage: Eukaryota; Viridiplantae; Streptophyta; Magnoliopsida; Poales; Poaceae.